Molecule: long non-coding RNA, 588 nt
Organism: Tupaia belangeri chinensis (Chinese tree shrew)
Lineage: Eukaryota; Metazoa; Chordata; Mammalia; Scandentia; Tupaiidae
Exons: 4
Source: RefSeq, a predicted model, not a curated record
ACCCGCUCCAGCUCAUCCAGCCUCAGUUUGAGACACCGCUGCCAGCUCUUCAGCCUGCGGUUUUCCCUCCUAGUUUCAGGGAAUUGCCACCUCCUCCUCUGGAGCUGUUUGACUUGGAUGAGACGUUCUCCUCGGAGAAGGCACGGCUCGCUCAGAUUACCAACAAGUGUACUGAAGAAGACCUGGAAUUCUAUGUUAGGAAAUGUGGCGACAUUCUUGGCGUAACCAGUAAACUACCAAAGGACCAACAAGAUGCCAAACAUAUCCUUGAGCACAUCUUCUUCCAAGUGGUGGAGUUCAAGAAGUUGAACCAGGAACAUGAUGUUGAUACAAGUGAACCAGCAUUCCAGAACAAUUUCUGAGGAUUCUACCUCUUGACGCAUUUUCUGCCUCUUGAUUUUCUCUUUGUGAACUACUUUUGACUUGUUCCUCAACUUACCACAAUUGUCUGUACACUUAUUCCUUUACAAGCUGUUCUAUUAAUCUCUGUAUUAUCCAGAUAGGCCUAAGAUUUAUAACUUACAGAAUCCUUAUGUAAAAUACAUUCCAUUUUUAAAAAUUAAAUAUACGAUUGAAUCUGUACUUUUA